CGUAGGGGCAAGCGUUGUCCGGAUUUAUUGGGGCGUAAAGAGCUCGUAGGCGGCUUGGUAAGUCAGGUGUGAAACCUCCAGGCUCAACCUGGAGACGCCACUUGAUACUGCCAUAGCUAGAGUCCGGUAGGGGAGCGUGGAAUUUCUGGUGUAGCGGUGAAAUGCGCAGAUAUCAGAAGGAACACCAGCGGCGAAGGCGGCGCUCUGGGCCGGAACUGACGCUGAGGAGCGAAAGCGUGGGUAGCAAACAGGAUU
RNAcentral lists this ribosomal RNA (255 nucleotides) under uncultured bacterium. RNAcentral's name for it is "partial 16S ribosomal RNA". It matches the Rfam family "Bacterial small subunit ribosomal RNA", at positions 526 to 779 of the family's 1533-position model. The record is from RNAcentral.